GUGCUUGCUUUGGCAGCACAUACACUGAUGCUACAGAGAUUAGCAUGGCCCCUGAGCACGGAUGACACACAAGUUUGUGAAGUGUCCCAUAUUUUU
This 96-nucleotide small nuclear RNA is filed under the name Octodon degus (degu). The record is from RNAcentral. Lineage: Eukaryota; Metazoa; Chordata; Mammalia; Rodentia; Octodontidae.